RNAcentral lists this ribosomal RNA (232 nucleotides) under uncultured bacterium. RNAcentral's name for it is "partial 16S ribosomal RNA". It matches the Rfam family "Bacterial small subunit ribosomal RNA", at positions 103 to 334 of the family's 1533-position model. The record is from RNAcentral.
CGGGUGAGUAACACGUAUCCAACCUGCCGUCUACUCUUGGCCAGCCUUCUGAAGGAAGAUUAAUCCAGGAUGGGAUCAUGAGUUCACAUGUCCGCAUGAUUAAAGGUAUUUUCCGGUAGACGAUGGGGAUGCGUUCCAUUAGAUAGUAGGCGGGGUAACGGCCCACCUAGUCAACGAUGGAUAGGGGUUCUGAGAGGAAGGUCCCCCACAUUGGGACUGAGACACGGCCCAG